UCCUUAAUAAGUUAAAAAAACUAUUGAAUUUUUACUUCAAUUUUAUCUAAAGAUUUAGGGAA
RNAcentral lists this transfer RNA (62 nucleotides) under Frankliniella intonsa. Its description in RNAcentral is "tRNA-Lys". Lineage: Eukaryota; Metazoa; Arthropoda; Insecta; Thysanoptera; Thripidae. The record is from RNAcentral.